Magnolia sinica is the source of this 192-nucleotide long non-coding RNA. RefSeq lists it as uncharacterized. The record is from RefSeq and is a predicted model, not a curated record. NCBI's taxonomy places the organism in Eukaryota, Viridiplantae, Streptophyta, Magnoliopsida, Magnoliales, Magnoliaceae. The transcript is spliced from 4 exons.
UUGCAUCUCUCUAGCUUUGUCUAAGGCAUUAUUUUCUUGGUCAAGACCUGCACUGGUAAUCAGUGGAAUUAACAAGGGAUCGAGCUGUGGCCAUCACAUCUUCUGCUCAGGUGCAGUUGCUGGAGCUAGAGAAGCUUUAAUUUGUGGUGUACCUUCUAUAUCGAUUUCAUUGAAUUGGAAGAAUGAUGAAAG